Molecule: unclassified non-coding RNA, 366 nt
Filed under: Hevea brasiliensis (rubber tree)
Lineage: Eukaryota; Viridiplantae; Streptophyta; Magnoliopsida; Malpighiales; Euphorbiaceae
Source: RNAcentral
ACUAUUUACGAUCUUGAAGAUGUGGUCGAUGAAUUAAUUAUCAAAUCAUCCCAGAGAAGAAACAGAGAUGCUCCUGUCGAUUUGCUGGAUCAUAACAGACUUCUUAAGAGACUGGAACAGAUAAAGAUUAAAAUUUCCAUAGCAUGUACUGCAAUUUUUCUGUCUGGUGCCUGGCACAACUCCUUUGGCAUAUACGACGUGGGUGUUGGCAACUCCGUAAUUUCUCCAGUUAUUGGUUUGUCUGAGGCAUUAGUCACUCGGAAAGAGCUUCGUCCUAAUGUGCGAAGGCAAGCCAGGAGGUUGAGAGACGAAUUCAAGUGUUUGCAGGAUUUUCUAAAACAUGUUGAACAAUCAAAAGAAUUAAGU